UACGUAGGGUGCGAGCGUUGUCCGGAAUUAUUGGGCGUAAAGGGCUCGUAGGCGGUCUGUCACGUCGGGAGUGAAAACACGGGGCUUAACCCCGUGCCUGCUUCCGAUACGGGCAGACUAGAGGUAUGCAGGGGAGAACGGAAUUCCUGGUGUAGCGGUGAAAUGCGCAGAUAUCGGGAGGAACACCGGUGGCGAAGGCGGUUCUCUGGGCCUUACCUGACGCUGAGGAGCGAAAGCGUGGGGAGCGAACAGG
RNAcentral lists this ribosomal RNA (253 nucleotides) under uncultured bacterium. Its description in RNAcentral is "partial 16S ribosomal RNA". It matches the Rfam family "Bacterial small subunit ribosomal RNA", at positions 524 to 776 of the family's 1533-position model. The record is from RNAcentral.